AGAGUUUGAUCCUGGCUCAGGAUGAACGCUGGCGGCGCGCCUAACACAUGCAAGUCGAACGGCACCCCUCUCCGGAGGGAAGCGAGUGGCGAACGGCUGAGUAACACGUGGAGAACCUGCCCCCUCCCCCGGGAUAGCCGCCCGAAAGGACGGGUAAUACCGGAUACCCCGGGGUGCCGCAUGGCACCCCGGCUAAAGCCCCGACGGGAGGGGAUGGCUCCGCGGCCCAUCAGGUAGACGGCGGGGUGACGGCCCACCGUGCCGACAACGGGUAGCCGGGUUGAGAGACCGACCGGCCAGAUUGGGACUGAGACACGGCCCAGACUCCUACGGGAGGCAGCAGUGGGGAAUCUUGCGCAAUGGGGGGAACCCUGACGCAGCGACGCCGCGUGCGGGACGGAGGCCUUCGGGUCGUAAACCGCUUUCAGCAGGGAAGAGUCAAGACUGUACCUGCAGAAGAAGCCCCGGCUAACUACGUGCCAGCAGCCGCGGUAAUACGUAGGGGGCGAGCGUUAUCCGGAUUCAUUGGGCGUAAAGCGCGCGUAGGCGGCCCGGCAGGCCGGGGGUCGAAGCGGGGGGCUCAACCCCCCGAAGCCCCCGGAACCUCCGCGGCUUGGGUCCGGUAGGGGAGGGUGGAACACCCGGUGUAGCGGUGGAAUGCGCAGAUAUCGGGUGGAACACCGGUGGCGAAGGCGGCCCUCUGGGCCGAGACCGACGCUGAGGCGCGAAAGCUGGGGGAGCGAACAGGAUUAGAUACCCUGGUAGUCCCAGCCGUAAACGAAUGGACGCUAGGUGUGGGGGGACGAUCCCCCCGUGCCGCAGCCAACGCAUUAAGCGUCCCGCCUGGGGAGUACGGCCGCAAGGCUAAAACUCAAAGGAAUUGACGGGGGCCCGCACAAGCAGCGGAGCAUGUGGCUUAAUUCGAAGCAACGCGGAGAACCUUACCAGGGCUUGACAUAUGGGUGAAGCGGGGGAGACCCCGUGGCCGAGAGGAGCCCAUACAGGUGGUGCAUGGCUGUCGUCAGCUCGUGUCGUGAGAUGCUGGGUUAAGUCCCGCAACGAGCGCAACCCUUAUUGCCAGUUACUACGUAAGAGGACUCUGGCGAGACUGCCGUUGACAAAACGGAGGAAGGUGGGGAUGACGUCAAAUCAUCAUGCCCUUUAUGACCUGGGCUACACACGUACUACAAUGGCGUUUAACAAAGAGAAGCAAGACCGCGAGGUGGAGCAAAACUCAAAAACAACGUCUCAGUUCAGAUUGCAGGCUGCAACUCGCCUGCAUGAAGUCGGAAUUGCUAGUAAUCGCGGAUCAGAAUGCCGCGGUGAAUACGUUCCCGGGUCUUGCACUCACCGCCCGUCA
This 1360-nucleotide ribosomal RNA is filed under the name uncultured bacterium. RNAcentral's name for it is "bacterial SSU rRNA". It matches the Rfam family "Bacterial small subunit ribosomal RNA". The record is from RNAcentral.